UAUUAAUGAACAGAGCCUAAGUGCGCCACGUCGUGUGGCAACGGCUCUGUGACCAACGUCGUGUUGG
The sequence is a small RNA, 67 nucleotides long. It matches the Rfam family "Bacillaceae-1 RNA". The record is from Rfam.